This 1728-nucleotide long non-coding RNA is filed under the name Gallus gallus (chicken). Lineage: Eukaryota; Metazoa; Chordata; Aves; Galliformes; Phasianidae. The record is from RNAcentral.
GGGCAGGGGGCGGUGGUGAGUGUAUGGAUGACACUGAUGUGUGAAUUUCUCAGCAAAGGCAGACUAACCUUCUCACUACAGAAUGAGCUGCUCUUCUUGACUGUGGAAGGUGCUUCUCUCUGACUGACAUGAGGUUUCAGAGUGGCCCUGCCUCCAGGCCUCGGGGCUGAAGCUGGUGACUACAGAGAGGGAAAUAAAGCUCAAAUAUACAAAGUUCCUGAAAACGUAAGUUCUCUGAGGAAACACAUCUUCCAUGGGGAUAUUUGAAGGUGCUGGGACCUGAAGGAGUCUUCUGGUUGUGUCGAUCUUUGUGAGAAGCUCUUUCUGCCUAUUCACCCUUCAACUGUGUCAGGACACCUUUGUGGUGGCACAGUGAAGGUGGCUGCCCACUCUAAGGCUGUUGUAGCAAACUUCAGAAGUCCUGAGGAUGCACCAAUGGAGAGUUUGCACCCACAAACAGGUACCAUCUCCGCAGCUGGUUCUUUCCCAAGUCUCUCUCUCUCAGCAUCCCUGUUUUUCAUCUUGUGCAUGGGAAUUGAACAAAGUCCAAAUCGGUUUUUGGAACAAUCCUAAAUCAGGGAUACUGUGAAGACAAAUGGUAAAUGUCUGUUACCCCAGCUGCUAAGUUAAUUACUGUAAUGGGAAACAUCUUGAGAGAAGCAUUGCAUAUGGUUAUUAGCAAUUAACCCACCACUCCAAAAAUCACAAUUCCUGCUAAUAACAGAACACAGCACAGCCUUUCUAAUUACGGUCUCUGCAUGAGAAUUUCUUCCAAUCAGAAGGGAAUGUUCAAUCCUGGAACUAACUACGAUUUAAAAAGGCUUGGAGAUAUUGAGGAUUGGGCAGAAAAAUGGAAAUGGCGUAGGGUGGUGUGACUCAAAGCUGUAGACAUGCUCAUUCACACAUUCACACUUGGGGAGACGCAGCAACGUUCACAAUGUCUUUGAAGGAAAAUAAUCAUCAAUGAAUGUUAAUGGAGAGAGAAAUACACUUUAGAAUGAAGAAGAGACUCCACGAGAGAUGCCAACUUCUCUGCAGAACUCGUGAUCUCCACUCUGUUGUAAACAAUACGCCGUUCAAUAAUGCUUAGCAAAGGGUUGCACCUGAAACUGUAAGAAGAAUGUCCUGAUCAAUGAAAGAGGAGAAUAAUAGAAAUUACUUAUUUUCCGUCUGUCAGAAAGUCCUGCAGUGCUCCAUGAGGUGUUCUUUUUCUGACAGCUUUUAUUCUAUGCGAUUGGCUUAGAUUAUAGCUCACCUGCAGAGUCGCCCGGGGGAAGCAGGACUUUGGUUGCUCAGUUCCAAUGCUGAACAGGACAGGAUUUAAUUUGUUCCUUUCACCAGUCAGGAACAGAACUCUUUUGCCAACAUUGCUUUGGUGGUGGGCACGAUAUAGUUUGUAGGAGUCAAGCUCAAUGAUACAGUUUUGUAGCAAAUAAGUUUCAUGACUGAUUGCAUCUGGUUGGUUCUGGCGGGGUUUUGUGAUAUAAAGUAGUCACUAAUUCUGUACCCAUCACCCUUUUUCCCUGACAUUUCCCACUGCUCCCACUGUAAGAACUGGAAUAAAUGAGUCUGCUUUCAUGUCUGCAUUGUCUGUAUCAGGCCUGAAGAUUUAACCGACUCGGGCGCAGUCAGAUCAAUUAUCCCAAUGGGCUUUUGAAGCUGCCUUCACAAAUGCUGCUUCCCUGCAACUCUUACUCAUGUGAAUCGUCCCAUUAAAGUCAACAGCCC